RNAcentral lists this ribosomal RNA (506 nucleotides) under uncultured bacterium. Its description in RNAcentral is "partial 16S ribosomal RNA". It matches the Rfam family "Bacterial small subunit ribosomal RNA", at positions 30 to 523 of the family's 1533-position model. The record is from RNAcentral.
AUUGAACGCUGGCGGCAGGCCUAACACAUGCAAGUCGAACGGUAGCACAGAGGAGCUUGCUCCUCGGGUGACGAGUGGCGGACGGGUGAGUAAUGUCUGGGUAUCUGCCCGAUAGAGGGGGAUAACCACUGGAAACGGUGGCUAAUACCGCAUAACGUCGCAAGACCAAAGAGGGGGACCUUCGGGCCUCUCACUAUCGGAUGAACCCAGAUGGGAUUAGCUAGUAGGCGGGGUAACGGCCCACCUAGGCGACGAUCCCUAGCUGGUCUGAGCGGAUGACCAGCCACACUGGAACUGAGACACGGUCCAGACUCCUACGGGAGGCAGCAGUGGGGAAUAUUGCACAAUGGGCGCAAGCCUGAUGCAGCCAUGCCGCGUGUAUGAAGAAGGCCUUCGGGUUGUAAAGUACUUUCAGCGGGGAGGAAGGCGAUGUGGUUAAUAACCGCAUUGAUUGACGUUACCCGCAGAAGAAGCACCGGCUAACUCCGUGCCAGCAGCCGCCGUAA